AUUGAACGCUGGCGGCAGGCUUAACACAUGCAAGUCGAGCGGGGUGAUGGUGCUUGCACUAUCACUUAGCGGCGGACGGGUGAGUAAUGCUUAGGAAUCUGCCUAUUAGUGGGGGACAACAUCUCGAAAGGGAUGCUAAUACCGCAUACGUCCUACGGGAGAAAGCAGGGGAUCACUUGUGACCUUGCGCUAAUAGAUGAGCCUAAGUCGGAUUAGCUAGUUGGUGGGGUAAAGGUCUACAAAGGCGACGAUCUGUAGCGGGUCUGAGAGGAUGAUCCGCCACACUGGGACUGAGACACGGCCCAGACUCCUACGGGAGGCAGCAGUGGGGAAUAUUGGACAAUGGGGGGAACCCUGAUCCAGCCAUGCCGCGUGUGUGAAGAAGGCCUUAUGGUUGUAAAGCACUUUAAGCGAGGGGGAGGCUCUUUUGGUUAAUACCCAAGAUGAGUGGACGUUACUCGCAGAAUAAGCACCGGCCAACUCUGUGCCAGCAGCCGCCGUAA
This 503-nucleotide ribosomal RNA is filed under the name uncultured bacterium. RNAcentral's name for it is "partial 16S ribosomal RNA". It matches the Rfam family "Bacterial small subunit ribosomal RNA", at positions 30 to 523 of the family's 1533-position model. The record is from RNAcentral.